UACAGAGGGGGCAAGCGUUAUCCGGAAUUAUUGGGCGUAAAGAGCUCGUAGGCGGUUUGUCGCGUCUGCCGUGAAAGUCCGGGGCUCAACUCCGGAUCUGCGGUGGGUACGGGCAGACUAGAGUGAUGUAGGGGAGACUGGAAUUCCUGGUGUAGCGGUGAAAUGCGCAGAUAUCAGGAGGAACACCGGUGGCGAAGGCGGGUCUCUGGGCAACAACUGACGCUGAGGAGCGAAAGCGUGGGGAGCGAACAGG
Molecule: ribosomal RNA, 253 nt
Filed under: uncultured bacterium
Lineage: Bacteria
Description: partial 16S ribosomal RNA
Rfam family: Bacterial small subunit ribosomal RNA
Source: RNAcentral